RNAcentral lists this small RNA (174 nucleotides) under Nothoprocta perdicaria. Its description in RNAcentral is "TUC338 (ENSNPEG00000004371.1)". The record is from RNAcentral. Lineage: Eukaryota; Metazoa; Chordata; Aves; Tinamiformes; Tinamidae.
UUGAGUCCAUUAGAAACUGAUGUUCUCUCUCCCCAGAAAGCACACUCAGAAGCAGCAGUAAUAUAGGUUUUCACACAUGGGUCUUGUCAGAAUAACCCAAAGUCUUUUGUGAUGAGUCACUUUUUGCAGUGGGGAAAUACAUCAGUCUCCAUGCUGGCUCAAUCCUUGGCCUUC